CUUAGUAUUUGAGGAAUUUCUUUACAUUCAGGAAAUGUUGGUCAGCACAUGGCAGUGAGGAAGAGCCUAGAAAAUGUGAUAUGACUGCUUUACUACUUAACAAUUCUCCCUUUCUUGGCUGAUUUAGCAUUCAAACCUUUCAAAGGAGACUUGGUACUGGUUGAGUAUUCCAUGAAUGCAGGCACUUCAAACAUCAAUAUCCACUCUGUGAGCCCCCUCAACUCUCAGGAUAUGAAUGAGGUCUGUGUUACUAGCAUUGAUGGAAGAAAUGGCAUGAUGGAAGCCAGAGUCUUUUUCACCCUCGACUCUCUCCAU
This 315-nucleotide long non-coding RNA is filed under the name Rattus norvegicus (Norway rat). RNAcentral describes it as "long non-coding RNA NONRATT033843". The record is from RNAcentral. Lineage: Eukaryota; Metazoa; Chordata; Mammalia; Rodentia; Muridae.